GGCCUGGGGCUCAGUGGUAGAGUGCUCACCUGGCACAUGUGAGGCACUGGGUUCAACCCUCAGCACCA
RNAcentral lists this transfer RNA (68 nucleotides) under Marmota monax (woodchuck). RNAcentral describes it as "tRNA.Ala". Lineage: Eukaryota; Metazoa; Chordata; Mammalia; Rodentia; Sciuridae. The record is from RNAcentral.